This 588-nucleotide non-coding RNA is filed under the name Stegodyphus mimosarum. Its description in RNAcentral is "eukaryotic small subunit ribosomal RNA". It matches the Rfam family "Eukaryotic small subunit ribosomal RNA", at positions 32 to 596 of the family's 1831-position model. Lineage: Eukaryota; Metazoa; Arthropoda; Arachnida; Araneae; Eresidae. The record is from Rfam by way of RNAcentral.
UUUCCUUAAAUGCUAUUCAAUGAUUUUCUUUCGUGAUUGACAAAUGUAUAAAGACAAAACCGCGAAUGGCUCAUUAAAUUAGUUAUGGUUCCUUGGAUCGCACCUAAUUAGUUGCAUAACUGUGGAUAGUGUAGAGCUAAUACAUGCAGCAGAACUCCGAUCCUCUGGGGACGAGCGUUUUUAUUAGACCAAAACCAAUCGGACCUUGUUUCCGUAUUGCGUGGUGAUUCUGUACAAAUUUGGGCCGAUCGCACGGCUUCGUCCCGGCGACGUAUCUUUCAAGUGUCUGCGUUAUCAGUUGUCCAUGAAAGGUUACGCGCCUACCAUGGCAGUACUGACCAUGGUCGUAACGGGUAACUGAAAAUCAGGGUUCGAUUGCGGAGAGGGAGCCUGGAAAACGGCUGUCACAUCCAAGAAGGCAGCAGGAAAGCAAAUUACCCACUUCCAAGAACGGAAGGUAGUGGCGAAAAAUAAUGAUAGACUCUUUUGAAACCCCGUAAUCGUACUGAGCACACUCUGAAUCCUCUAACGAGGAUCAAUUGGAGGGCAAGUGUGAUGCCAACAGCCGCUGUAAUUCCAGCUCCAAUA